CAUCAUUUAAAGAAAGCGUAAUAGCUCACUGGUCGAGUCGGCCUGCGCGGAAGAUGUAACGGGGCUAAACCAUGCACCGAAGCUGCGGCAGCGACGCUUAUGCGUUGUUGGGUAGGGGAGCGUUCUGUAAGCCUGCGAAGGUGUACUGUGAGGUAUGCUGGAGGUAUCAGAAGUGCGAAUGCUGACAUAAGUAACGAUAAAGCGGGUGAAAAGCCCGCUCGCCGGAAGACCAAGGGUUCCUGUCCAACGUUAAUCGGGGCAGGGUGAGUCGACCCCUAAGGCGAGGCCGAAAGGCGUAGUCGAUGGGAAACAGGUUAAUAUUCCUGUACUUGGUGUUACUGCGAAGGGGGGACGGAGAAGGCUAUGUUGGCCGGGCGACGGUUGUCCCGGUUUAAGCGUGUAGGCUGGUUUUCCAGGCAAAUCCGGAAAAUCAAGGCUGAGGCGUGAUGACGAGGCACUACGGUGCUGAAGCAACAAAUGCCCUGCUUCCAGGAAAAGCCUCUAAGCAUCAGGUAACAUCAAAUCGUACCCCAAACCGACACAGGUGGUCAGGUAGAGAAUACCAAGGCGCUUGAGAGAACUCGGGUGAAGGAACUAGGCAAAAUGGUGCCGUAACUUCGGGAGAAGGCACGCUGAUAUGUAGGUGAAGCGACUUGCUCGUGGAGCUGAAAUCAGUCGAAGAUACCAGCUGGCUGCAACUGUUUAUUAAAAACACAGCACUGUGCAAACACGAAAGUGGACGUAUACGGUGUGACGCCUGCCCGGUGCCGGAAGGUUAAUUGAUGGGGUUAGCGGUAACGCGAAGCUCUUGAUCGAAGCCCCGGUAAACGGCGGCCGUAACUAUAACGGUCCUAAGGUAGCGAAAUUCCUUGUCGGGUAAGUUCCGACCUGCACGAAUGGCGUAAUGAUGGCCAGGCUGUCUCCACCCGAGACUCAGUGAAAUUGAACUCGCUGUGAAGAUGCAGUGUACCCGCGGCAAGACGGAAAGACCCCGUGAACCUUUACUAUAGCUUGACACUGAACAUUGAGCCUUGAUGUGUAGGAUAGGUGGGAGGCUUUGAAGUGUGGACGCCAGUCUGCAUGGAGCCGACCUUGAAAUACCACCCUUUAAUGUUUGAUGUUCUAACGUUGGCCCCUAAUCGGGGUUGCGGACAGUGUCUGGUGGGUAGUUUGACUGGGGCGGUCUCCUCCUAAAGAGUAACGGAGGAGCACGAAGGUUGGCUAAUCCUGGUCGGACAUCAGGAGGUUAGUGCAAUGGCAUAAGCCAGCUUGACUGCGAGCGUGACGGCGCGAGCAGGUGCGAAAGCAGGUCAUAGUGAUCCGGUGGUUCUGAAUGGAAGGGCCAUCGCUCAACGGAUAAAAGGUACUCCGGGGAUAACAGGCUGAUACCGCCCAAGAGUUCAUAUCGACGGCGGUGUUUGGCACCUCGAUGUCGGCUCAUCACAUCCUGGGGCUGAAGUAGGUCCCAAGGGUAUGGCUGUUCGCCAUUUAAAGUGGUACGCGAGCUGGGUUUAGAACGUCGUGAGACAGUUCGGUCCCUAUCUGCCGUGGGCGCUGGAGAACUGAGGGGGGCUGCUCCUAGUACGAGAGGACCGGAGUGGACGCAUCACUGGUGUUCGGGUUGUCAUGCCAAUGGCACUGCCCGGUAGCUAAAUGCGGAAGAGAUAAGUGCUGAAAGCAUCUAAGCACGAAACUUGCCCCGAGAUGAGUUCUCCCUGACUCCCUGAGAGUCCUGAAGGAACGUUGAAGACGACGACGUUGAUAGGCCGGGUGUGUAAGCGCAGCGAUGCGUUGAGCUAACCGGUACUAAUGAACCGUGAGGCUUAACCUU
This 1831-nucleotide ribosomal RNA is filed under the name Escherichia coli HVH 69 (4-2837072). Its description in RNAcentral is "bacterial LSU rRNA". It matches the Rfam family "Bacterial large subunit ribosomal RNA", at positions 1117 to 2925 of the family's 2925-position model. Lineage: Bacteria; Pseudomonadati; Pseudomonadota; Gammaproteobacteria; Enterobacterales; Enterobacteriaceae. The record is from RNAcentral.